UGAUGUUGUAAAGCUAUCAAAAUGAAAAAAGACUACAAGUAAUAUGACAUCUACAAUCAAGUUUAGAGAUUUCUUGACAACAUACAACAAUCAAGAUUUGCAGCUGGAAUCAUAUAUACGUGUACAGUAUUUCUAGGAGUGGAUCUUACUCUUGAGACUCUUGGAGUUGAAUUGAGCAACAAACUGUUCCAUCUUCAUAUCUAUACAUGGAUUUUCCUGCAAGCUUAGCCCUGAGUUGAAUCUGUGCGAAGAGAAUCUGAACUAGAAUCUGUUGCUACCUCAGAUAUUCUGGCCUCCGAUUUCUCGUUUGAAUAAGUUGAGAGUAUGGUCACCCAGAUAAGCUCCACACAAUCAACCCACAGGAGUCUUUGUUCUACAGGAAUAACACCGUAUGUGAUAAGAUGAGCAAACGGCCAAAGUUUCCAACCCGCGGUAAGCAUAGGCCAAAAUGUCGUCUUUAGUUCAUUAAAUAUAGAAACUGGGGACUCGAGCCGCAGGAAUCCUAAUACCACAAAAUAAAUACUGUUCCAAACUGCUGACCAUGCCGUUUGGUCGAAUGCUACUUUUGCAGGAACUACCCACCAAUCUUGGAAAGGAAAGAGACCCUCACAAAAAUGAUAGUAGUAGUGGGAAAGGGAACCAUGUAGAGAAAAGCCCACGAGGCCUGAUCUGAACAUGCGUGUGCGAUCAAAUUCAAAUAGAG
Molecule: unclassified non-coding RNA, 703 nt
Filed under: Hevea brasiliensis (rubber tree)
Lineage: Eukaryota; Viridiplantae; Streptophyta; Magnoliopsida; Malpighiales; Euphorbiaceae
Source: RNAcentral